Molecule: ribosomal RNA, 370 nt
Filed under: uncultured organism
Description: bacterial SSU rRNA
Rfam family: Bacterial small subunit ribosomal RNA
Source: RNAcentral
CGUAGGGUGCGAGCGUUAAUCGGAAUUACUGGGCGUAAAGCGUGCGCAGGCGGUUUUGUAAGACAGAUGUGAAAUCCCCGGGCUCAACCUGGGACCUGCAUUUGUGACUGCAAGGCUAGAGUACGGUAGAGGGGGAUGGAAUUCUGCGUGUAGCAGUGAAAUGCGUAGAUAUGCGGAGGAACACCGAUGGCGAAGGCAAUCCCCUGGACCUGUACUGACGCUCAUGCACGAAAGCGUGGGGAGCAAACAGGAUUAGAUACCCUGGUAGUCCACGCCCUAAACGAUGUCAACUGGUUGUUGGGUCUUUACUGACUCAGUAACGAAGCUAACGCGUGAAGUUGACCGCCUGGGGAGUACGGCCGCAAGGUUG